This 468-nucleotide ribosomal RNA is filed under the name uncultured bacterium. Its description in RNAcentral is "partial 16S ribosomal RNA". It matches the Rfam family "Bacterial small subunit ribosomal RNA", at positions 28 to 507 of the family's 1533-position model. The record is from RNAcentral.
GACGAACGCUGGCGGCGUGCUUAACACAUGCAAGUCGAACGGAAAGGCCCUGCUUUUGUGGGGUGCUCGAGUGGCGAACGGGUGAGUAACACGUGAGUAACCUGCCCUUGACUUUGGGAUAACUUCAGGAAACUGGGGCUAAUACCGGAUAGGAGCUCCUGCUGCAUGGUGGGGGUUGGAAAGUUUCGGCGGUUGGGGAUGGACUCGCGGCUUAUCAGCUUGUUGGUGGGGUAGUGGCUUACCAAGGCUUUGACGGGUAGCCGGCCUGAGAGGGUGACCGGCGACAUUGGGACUGAGAGACGGCCCAGACUCCUACGGGAGGCAGCAGUGGGGAAUAUGGCACAAUGGGCGGAAGCCUGAUGCAGCAACGCCGCGUGCGGGAUGACGGCCUUCGGGUUGUAAACCGCUUUCGCCUGUGACGAAGCGUGAGUGACGGUAAUGGGUAAAGAAGCACCGGCUAACUACGUG